Molecule: long non-coding RNA, 9562 nt
Organism: Loxodonta africana (African savanna elephant)
Lineage: Eukaryota; Metazoa; Chordata; Mammalia; Proboscidea; Elephantidae
Exons: 2
Source: RefSeq, a predicted model, not a curated record
GGGCCUCGCCCACUGCCCGCGGUGCCUGUGACUCAGCUUGCAGACCGGUGGAGGGCCAUCGCCCCACCCCGGUCCUUUGUCUUCCUCACUGGCUUUCUCAAUUUGGGUGGGAGGUAUGCACCCUGGGUGAUUAAAAAAAAAAGUUUCAUUACUGUAACAUCCAUAUUUUUUUCAACAACAUAGUUUUGUGACCACUCAAGUCAAACAACGGUAAUAUUUGCUGGCGUAGAGCAAUUUUUUCUGCCGUUUGUAGAGCACAACGCCUCCCCCUUAGAAAAAUCAGUCGAGUUGGAGCUCUACUCUAGCCUUGCUGCUUGACAAUCAGGAAGUUCUCUUACUUUUCUGUUCCUUAUUUUCCUAAAUUUUGAAAGUGGUCGCUAAGGAGGCCUGUGUUGGAUCCCAAAGACGUGAGGUUCCCUUAUCCAGAAAAUCUGAAGAUGGUAUUAAAAAUUCAAACCCUGUGUACGUUUUUCAGCCCUAGGGUUUUGAAACGCUCUUGUAAAUUACAUCGGAAAUAUUCACCGCGGAAGAUGUGGGUGGAGAGAGGAGCAGUUUUCAAAAUGGCACCUGAUUUUCUGAGUACGAGUGACCCAUUUGUGCUGAAAAUUAGUUGCAAAUACCAUGCUAGUGCUUGCGAACUGCAUGUGAAGGGAAAAAGACCUGCUGGUUCUAGAAAGGCCUAGUUGGGAUUAUUUCUAAGGGAGUGUUCGAAAUAGUCCCCCUUUUCUGUGUCCCAGGGAAGUGCUGUCUGAAACCCCCUGGUAAUCAUGCAUUGGGAAGAGGCCUUUGUCGCACUGGGGAGUAAACUGUCAUAUGCAGGCUGAAACAGCACUGCCAGCAGCUUGGACUUCCCCAUUUCUGCACCUCCCUGACUUCCCUCUUCCUAGGGAGAAAGGGGGAGGGGGUGGGCAGGGGCAGGUGACCGUCUGGUUCCCCAGUUAAUGCUCUGCUGGAUGGCUGCCACCCUGCUGUCCAAAUGGGGACACUGGGCCUUUUCCUGCACCAGAUGUCACCUCUCUGGUGCCAUGUCCCCUGAGCCUGCUCUCCGCUGACACGCCUGGGAGUCCACUUCACCAUCCAAACGCAGACUAGAUCUUGCAGGGGGAUUUUUCCGCGGGUUUCAGCUGGCAGCUGCGGUUGUUACCAACCCCAUUUCUGUAGUUCCUGGGAUUCCAUUUCUCGGCACUCAGCUGCUGUCGAAAAUUCCGUCCGACCUCCCUGAUGUCUCCCCGAUUACAAAGAAUGCCACUACCACCUCGUGGCCUGUUUUCCCAAGGGCUGCCCUGAAGCAGGAUUAGACCUUACAGAAACAGUGUCUCCGAAGGACAGGGAAAAGCCGACAUUUUUUGAAUGUCUGGAGGAUUUUUCUCAACUGGUAACAAGCAGCCUUCCUGCCUCUGGGUUUAGGAUCUCAAAGAAAUAGGACAGAUGGAGAGAUGGGAGGAGAAGAGAGAGAGGGAGAGAGAGGCAGCUGGCUGAAAGCAAGAGAAAAGCCUCUACCAUAAUUGAACUGGACUUGCCAACUGGUCAGCUGACCCAGACAGAAUGAAGAGGAAAGGGUGAGGCAAGAUGAGAGGAAAGGAGAAAGGAGUAUUCUUAAAAGUGUGUGACCUUGUCAAAUUCAUUCAUCUUUCUGUGUCUCCAUUUUCUCAUCUGUAAAAUGGGGUCAUUGCAGUACCUAUCCCACAGGGUUGUUGGGAGGGUUGAGUGCUUAGGACAGUGUGUGACACUUAGUAAACACUUCAUAUUGUUCUUACCAUUAUUACUAUUAACUACUACUAUUAGUAUUAUUUGGGAUCAAAGGUUGAGAAAAAAUAAUGAAAUGAAAAAUGUUUUAGGGUUUGGAAUUAAUUUAAGAUGUUUUUAUAUUAUUGCUUUCUCUUAUAAAAUGCUGGUAGGAUAAGAUCGUUUAUUCACUCUACAGCAAAUAGAGUUUUCAAUGACUGAUUUUUGGGAAGCAGAUUGCCAGGCUUUUCUUCCAAGGUGCCUCUGGGUGGGCUUGAACCUCCAACCUUUCAGUUAGCAGCUGAUUGCAUUAACCAUUUGCACUACGCAGGGACUCCAGAAUUACCAUGUUGUUGCCUUUUGCCUCUGAGUCAAUUCCGACUCAUAGGGACCCCGUGUGUUACAGAGUAGAACUGCCCCAUAGCUCUUUUCUUCCGUAUUGCUGCUGGGUGGGUUUGAACCACCAACCUUUUGGUUACCAGCCGAGCACAGACUGCGCCACCCAGGAACCUUCAGAAUUUCCAUACCAAAAAAACCAAACAAACCUGUUGCUAUCGAGUUGAUUCCGACUCAUAGUGACCCUACAGGACAGAAUAGAACUGCCCCAUACAGUUCCCAAGGAGCGCCUGGUGGAUUCGAACUACUGGCCUUUUGGUUAGCAGUUGCAGCUCUUAACCACUGGGCCACCAGGGUUUCCAAAUUACCAUAUUACCCAGCAGUUCCACCCCUAGGUAUAUAUACCCAGAAGAAUUGAGAACAGGAACUCAAACAGAUGCUUGUCAUGAAUGUUCACAGCAGCGUUAUUCACAAUAGCCAUACAUUGUAAACAACCUAAAGACUCAUCAACGGAUGAAUGGAUAAACAAAAUGUGGUAUAUACGUGAAAUGGAAUGCUAUUCAGCCAUAAAAAGGAAUAAGAUACUGAUACACGCUACAACAUGGAUGAACCUUGAAAUCAUUAGGCCAAGUGGAAAAAACAAGACACAAAAAGCCACAUAUUGUGUGAUUCCAUGUAUAUGAAAUGUCCAGAAGAGGCAAAUCCACAGAGACAGAAAGCAGUUUAGUGGUUGCCAGGAGCUGGGGGAGGGGAGAAUGGGAGUGACUGCCAAUGGCUACAGUGUUUCCUUUUGGGAUGAUGAAUGUUCUGGAAUUAGACAGAGGCAGUAAUUUCACAACAUUGUGAAUGCACAUGGAACUGUGUACUUCGAAAUGGCUAACUUUAUGUUAUGUGAAUUUCACCUCAAUAACAAUAAUGCAAAAAAACAAAAACUAAAACUAAAAAAGAACUCAUAGCCCCAUUUCCCACGCCCCAGGGUAGGGUUAUGAGGAGAUGGAAGGGGAGUCAAAGGUGAAGUGAGAGUCAGGGGUUCUUAACCCUUUGUGUGCCUUGGCCUCCUUUGGCAGUGUGAUGAGCCUUCUCAAAAAAAAAAAAACUUUUUUUUUUCUUCUCAGAAUUACAGAAACGCAUGAAAUAAAAAACUUGGGCUCUCAAAUGCAAUCAUUGAGGUUUACGUAUAUCUAUCAAAAGGCUUUUAGAAAUUGUGAUGUAGUAAUAUACGUGCUUCUUUAUGCAUGAAAUUAUGCAAUCUAUUUUUUAUUAGUAGGCCUCAUAUCCACCAUAAAUUCACAAUUGUGAUGAACGUUUAGUCAUCUGCAGAAGUGCUAAUGGACAUAAAAAUAUCUGUAAUUUCUCUUGUUGACCAAAUCCUAGGAACUGCUAAUAUCACAAAGGUUCCUUGCAUACUUGAAGGAAUGCUAACAUUCAGUUAAAGGUUAAUGAAAAUAAAGAUGUAAUUUCCCCCCUUUUUUUUUUAUGUUCAUGGACUCCCUGGAUUCUAUCCAAAGAUCUCUUGGGUGUCUGUGGACUAAGGGAGAGAUCCCUUGAACUAGAGAAAGUCACCAACGAGGUUUCUCAGAGAGAAAUGGAAGAGAUGGAGUGGAUAUCAAUGAACAGAAUAAACCACUGAAUAAGUCUGAAACUACUGAAUGUGUUUGAAAUUUAAUUUACCCUUGAACUCUGCUUGUUCUCUGUGUGGCCUAUAUUCCACAGUCUAUUUUAUACCAGCAGCUUACCUAAAAGAGUUUAGGUGCCAGCAAAUUGGAUGUCAGGUGCAGGGGGCGGAAGACCAGCUUAUAGGUGUCACCUUACAUUUUGUGGUUUAGUAAUUGCUUAUGUAAUACAACUCAUAUUUAUCUGGUGUUUGUGAACAAAGCAUUUUCUCAUCUUUUAUAUCAUUUUGUCCUUAAAGCACCCUUAUGUAAAUAAUAAAAGGGCUAAAUGGUUGCUGUAUUGUGGUGGCUUGUGUGUUGCUAUGAUGCUGAAAGCUAUGCCACUGGUAUUUCAAAUACUAGCAGGGUUGCCCAUGGUGGGCAGGUUUCAGCAGAGCUUCCAGACUAGGACAGACUAGGAAGAAAGGCCUGGAGGUCUACUUCCAAAAAAAAAAGGGUUUCCUUCCAAAAAUUAGCCCAUGAAAACCCUGUGGAUCACAACAGAGCAUAGUCUGAUAGAGUGCUGGAAGAUGAGCCCCCUAGGUUGGAGGGCACUCAAAAUCCACAGUGGUCCUAACAAUGGACUUAAGCAUCCCGAUGACGGUGAAGGUAGUGCAGGGCCGGGCAGCAUUUUGUGCUUUUGUGUACAGAGUUGCCCUGAGUCAGAGGUGAGUCCAGGGCAACUAACAACAACGGUAGCAUCAAUAUUUUGCAGUGUGUGAAACUCAAGGCAGAAGGGUUAAGUGGCCUGCCCAGGGUGAAUCAGCUGGUGAGCAGAGCCAAGGCCACAGACCAAAACUCCUCACUUUCAAGGACUUUCAAGGACCAUGGGCCCCAUCGUCCUUGACGCACGAUUUUAGGUGCUGGAGCCCAGGGAGUCAACACCCGUCAACACCCCCAGAAGGAACAUUAAGUAUCAAGGAUGAGAAGGCCAUCACUUGCAGUGGGAAUAAGAGCUACUGGGAAUUGAGUUGAUUGUGGGUCAUUGCUUGGCACCUCCUGUGUACUUUCUACAUGUCAAUUAGGUGAAAGAGAUCUAAAUGUUAUGCUAAGGAGAAUUUGGAAAAACAAACUAAAUUAUUACCAUCCUGUGUUCCAGAAUCCCAAAACUGCCAUGCGAGAGAGAUGGGGCAUGAUGGUGGGUAAAAAGGAAUAGAAGGAACGAAGCACUUUGUCAGGAGAGAGGUGCAAUUUUUCUUUUGUUUUCAAUUCCUGCAACUUUAAGGUUUCAUUUCCUUUAUUUACUAGGAUCCAUUUAUUAGUUUGUAAUUUGCACCGUGCUUGGCGUCACCAGAAUGUUUUAAACUUUUCAUUGUGGGGUCAUGUCAAGCUUACUGAAAAGUUACAAAAAUAUAAUGAAGAGCUCCUGUAUACCCUGAACCCAGAUUCACCAGUUGUUAAUAUUUUGCCACGUUUGCUUUGUCAUGGGAGUCCCUGGAUGGUGCAAACGAUUAAGCGCUGGGCUACGAACUGAAAGUUUGGCUGUUUGAACCCACCCGGAGGUGCCUCAGAGGAAAGGCCUGGCAAUUUGCUUCCAAAAGGUCACAGCCUUGAAAACCCUAUAGAGCCAUUCUACUCUGCACACCUGGUGUAGCCAUGAGUCAGAAUCGACUGGACGGCAACCAACAAGAACAACUGGCAUAAAUAAUAGACAGCAGCUAUCGGCUUAUUUGGAGCCUUGGUGGCACAGUGGUUAAGAGUUAUGGCUGCUGACCAAAAUGUCGGCAGUUCGAAUCCACCAGCUGCUCCUUGGAAACCCUAUGGGACAGUUCUACUCUGUUCUAUAGGGUCACUAUGAGUUGAAAUCAACUCGACAGCAACAAGUUUUAUCAGCUUAUUUAUCACCCAAGUACUUUAGUGCUCAUUUACCAGGAACAAGGGUUUUCUCCAACACAGCCACAGUGCAAUUAUCAGUACAGCAAAUCCUAUGUUGCUGCCAUACUGUUUCUGGUCCAGGUUCCAAUCCAGGAUCAUGUAUUGCAUUGAGUUGUCAGGUCCCAUUUGUGCGUUUUAAUUUAAAACUUGCUCAGCCUCUCUUGAUCUUCCACGACACUAACAUUUCUGAAGAAGAUAGGCCAGUUUUGGGUUUUUUUUGUAGAAUUUCCUUCAACUUGGAUUUGACUGAUGUUUCUUCGUGAUUAGAUUUGGGCUUCGCCUUUUGGGCAGGACUACUACCCAAGGGAGGCUGUGGCCUUCUCAGUAGCUCACACUAGAAGGCACGUGAUGUCAGUUUGUCUCAUUAUUGCAGAUUUCCACUUUGGUCGCUUGAUUAAGGUGUUAUCUGUCAGUGUCUCCCCUGAAAAGGGACUAUUUUUUGAUGUAUGUCUAUUCCCUGCAUGGAGUGAGUUUUUCAGCUGUCUUCACAGAAGGCUUCUAGCUCAGCUGUGGUGGCAUUAAUUGUAACCUCAACAGACGUGAAUUACUCCCCCUACUGUGCACAAACCCAAGUGUGAUUCCAAGUGGUAUUGCAGGACACAGAGAAGUAGAUCGCCAGACCUUUCUUCCUAGUCUGUCUUAGUUUUGAAGCUGUCCUGAAACCUAUCUACCAUGGGUAACCCCGUUGGUAUUUGAAAUACCAGUAGCAUAGCCUCCAGCAUCAUAGCAACAUACAAGCCACCACAGGACAGCAAACUGACAGAUGGGUGGCAACAAUGGAGUCAAACAUACCAAUGAGCGUGAAGAUGAUGCAGGACUAGGUAAUGUUUUGUUCUGUUAUACAGAAGGUCGCCAUGUGUAGAAGCCAACUUGAUGGCAACUAACAACAACUGGUUAAGUGCUCAACUGCUAACCAAAAGCUCGGCAGUUCAAACCCGCCAGUGGCUCUGCAGGAGAAAACCCCUGGCGAUCUGCUCCCGUAAAGAUUACAGCCUAGGAAACUGUGGGGCAGUUCUACUCUGUCGUAUAGGGUGGCCAUGAGUUGUAACUGACCCGACGGCACACAACAACAGUAACAACAAUAACAACAUUUAAACAUACAUAUACAGUGUAACCUGAGAAAGCUGAAAACUGUGUAAGGCAGAAACCUAUCAGAGAAGGAAAACUCGGAUAUUUUCCGCUGAAAUGAGCAAUAGAAAAGUAGUAAGACUGCACCCUGUCAAAGGCAGAAAACUUUGCAGAUCUGGGAAAACAGGCAGUUCCACCGAGUUCUGGCCCUCACAGAUUUCACUGUACAUAUUCACAUACACAAACAGAAACAUAUACAUAUAGAUCUUUUUCCCCAUAGCAUUGUAAGUAAGAACAAAAACUAGACUCAACCUUAGUGUAUAUUAUUAGAAGACUAGUUAAGUACACAAUAGACUACCCAAACAAUGGAAAACUAUUCAGCCAUCAGAGAAAGACUGAGGCAGUUCUAUUUUUAAAAAAUCUAUGUUGCAAUUGUUAUUGAGAAUAUACACAGCAAAACACACACCAGUUCAACAAUUUCCACGUGUACAAUUCAUCGACAUGGAUUACGUUCUCACAUUGUUCCUCCCCCGUUAACAUAAGCUCACUGCCCUCUAAGGUCCCUAUCUAAUCUUUUGAGUUGCUGUCGUCAUUUUGAUCCUGUGUAGAUAGUUCUUACAAGAGCACAAUGCUCCAGGCAGACAUUUUUUACUAGUUAAGAUGGACUUGUUUGGUUUUAAGAAAACUUCAGGGGAUAUUUUUGGUUUAAGGUUUAAAGAUUCUCUCAGGGCAAUAGUUUCAGGGAUUCAUCCAGCCUCCAUGGCUGCAGAGAGUCUGGAGUCCCUGAGAAUUUGAAAUUCUGUUCUGCAUAGAAUCUUUGAUCAAAAUGCUUGUUCAGCAAUGGUACUGAGGCAGAUUAUUCAUGAUGCUAUAGAAGGAUGUCCAAAAUAUACUCUGAUGCGAAAGAAAAGACCUCAUAAAUAUUGUAUGAUCCUCUCUGUGUUAAAAAAAAAAUGGGUGUAUAAAAACAAUUUCCAGAAGGGAGUUUAAAGAACUAUUAACAGAAGUUACCUCUGGGAAGGGGGAUAGAGAAUCCUCUAGCAUUUAUACUUUCACCAGAAGCGUGUAUUACUUUUAUAUUUCUAAAUAUUUUAAGUAUUAUUUUCUGUUUUGUUUUACUUUUUUAUAUAAUAUUUUCUUGUGCUUUUGGUGAAAGUUUACACAACAAAUUAGGUUCCCAUUUAACAAUUUCUAUACAUAUUGUUCAGUGACAUCGGUUACAUUUUCCACAAUGUUUCAGCAUUCUCAUUAUUUCCAUUCUGGUUGUUCCAUUUCCAUUAAUCUAGCUUCCCUGCCCCCCCCCCUUUAUCUUCUCAUCUUUGCUUUAGGGUAAAUGCUGACCGUUCGGUCUCAUAUGGAUGAUUUUUUAAAGGACCACAGCACUCAUGGGUGAUACUGUUUAUGAGCCAUUCUAUCUGGGAGUUUUGUUUUACUUUAUCUUUUUCUAUAUUAGUUUUUUAUUUUCCUGCCCAAGAAACUUCACAAAACCAACACAAAGGCAGUUGAGUAUGCCUUUGAAGGAAAUAGAUUCUGACUGUGGGCUUGGGGUUUCUUUAGUAAGAAAACACCUUUGAAAGGAAGUGAAACACACAGCCAAGAAGAAUGAGGGUGACUUCCUGUUUAACUGCAAUUGUAGGAACUUGUGUUCUUAAAGGGGCAGAAGGACCAUUACUUUCAAGUCUAUGGCUAUUGUAAUCCUCAGUCAAAAUGACGUGGACAGAUCUGCAGCAGGCUGCUGUUCUAGAGCCCAACUGAAGCACCCAAGUUUGGUCAGUCGACCCACAGCAGGCCCAGUUAUGAGCCAUCCUUCAUCAGAGCAGCUCUACUCCGGAUGGUUUCCCAUCAAAUGUGAGCACAACAUCACACUUUGGUGAAUCGAAUCAUAUUUUCAAUGAAGUAGGAAAGCUGCUCCGGGAAUCAUAUAGUGACGCCUUUUAUAAGCUCAAUCUUGACUCCCGACAGCCCUGUGAGGGUGGAUAGGGCAGCCGACACCCCAUCUGUACAUGAAAAAAUGAGGCCUGCGGUAAGUGACUUGCCCAAGGUCUCAGGGCAGGUAGCAAGGGCUGAGCUGGGUCCCAAGCCUGGCAGCCUGGCUUCUGGCCUGGUGCCCUGGCAGGGGAGGAGCUGUGCUUUCCUGGCAUUUCAUCAUCCACCCUUCUGGCAUUUAAGUGGAAGUAACUUUCCACUGACUUCUCCUAGGCCUCCCUCUCGGUCAAGUGCCAGUGGAGCCCCGAAGUGGGGGUUCUGAGAAGGGAGGGAUCCGUGUGGGUCGUGGAUGAGGGAAGUCUGGAAAAGUAGGUGAGGUUGGUGGGGGGCGGGGGAGGCAGGGAUGCCAUCUAGCCUCCCUAUUAGCCGGCUCAUAGUUAACUCUCCUUGGCUACUUUGUGUGGUUUUAGAGGCUGGGGGGUGAAAGGAGCCACACAGAGAAGGUGUGUGUAUGGCGGGGAGGGGGAAAUAGAGCAUAUUCAUAGCCCCCCUUCCCUCUCAUGUCUGCCAGCUGCCCAGUUCCCACACAAAUGAUUGGAUCAUCAGUUCCACGGAAGUCAGCGGAGAAGCCUCUCCCACCUACUGUACAAUCAUGUUAGUACUGCUGGCAUUGGCAGGGAUGUUGAUGCCCCUGGUGAAGGGGAAUUCUGUCCCCCCCAGAGUGCCAGGUAGGGACGGAAAUGCAUGCUGUGUUCUCUGCCCUUCCCCACCAUCCUCAUCACACUCCAAGGUAGACUGGCCAGACUCAGCCAACAAAAAUGCAGGAGGCCUAGUUAAAUGUGAAUUUCAGAUAAAUAAUGAAUACCUUUUUUUUGUAUAUCUCACACAAUAUUUAGGAUAUACAUAUACUAAAAAAAUGUUCUUCAUUAUUUAUCUGAAAUUUGAAUUUAACUGGGCAUCCUGUAUCUUACCUACCCUAC